Molecule: long non-coding RNA, 573 nt
Organism: Oreochromis niloticus (Nile tilapia)
Lineage: Eukaryota; Metazoa; Chordata; Actinopteri; Cichliformes; Cichlidae
Exons: 3
Source: RefSeq, a predicted model, not a curated record
GGCCACCAAGCUGCAUCUGCCAUCUCUCAUUAGUGCAAAGAAAUGGACAAAACAGUAUCCCUCCGUGCUCCAUGAGAGUGGGGUGAAAUUAUUUAGUACUGCCUACAGUAAAAUGCUUUACCACAAAAGGAAAUUCACCAUCGAUUACCAUUUCCAAGGACUUAAGCAUCAGCAAGAGAACAUCAAGCAGCAAGAACAUGUGAAGAUGAACGCUGUCCGAACUUCAAACUAGAAUGACCGUGGCAGGAGCAAAAGAAACAAAUUACACAAUGGACCCAGAGCCAGCACAACAGAGCCAGCAGUGCACGAGCAGGAAUGCAUUUCUUACUUGGAAAUUCCAACACCACUUCACAUUUAAAGAAGAAAGGGAUGGGCAAAAUCUGACCGUUCAACGCAAACUCUAUUUGCCAGCAACCAAGCUGCUUUCAGCAUCAAAAGACUCCACCUCCAACUUAAAGAAACAUCUGGAGGUUUGUGGCUGAAGUCCUCCACAGUCAGUGGAAAAGCUUGUCCAGGUCCAGCUGAGCUUUGUUGUUGACCUAGGACCAGCAGCACUCCAAGCAUCUGCAAGUA